Long non-coding RNA from Alexandromys fortis (reed vole), 443 nucleotides. RefSeq lists it as uncharacterized. NCBI's taxonomy places the organism in Eukaryota, Metazoa, Chordata, Mammalia, Rodentia, Cricetidae. The transcript is spliced from 3 exons. The record is from RefSeq and is a predicted model, not a curated record.
GAGGAGUCCCAUAUUUCCAGAUGAAAUGAGGCAGAACAAAUGAGAGAGGAUCCCUGGGCUCGUGCAGAGAACCAAGAGUGUACAUUACGAAGAGGUCCCUGUGAUGCCUGUGCAGGCUACCCAACAGCUUCAGAGACAGAGAAAACAAAUAAGUAGACCACCAUGGAGAAAGCACCUCUAGAGAUACACUAUCUAACUGCUUCAUACCUGUGAGGAUAAGUUGAGGCUUAGACUUUCUGUGUUCUGCAAAGAUAUUAUUGAAGAAUAUGAACUGAGCUUUAUCUGUCGAAAGACCAACAUCCAGAGGUGAUACUCCAAUACGGUGUGAAAGCUAGUAAAAGGUGCAACCAAAGCAGAAGUGGAAGCAGACCAACAGCUGAUACAGAUAACCUCAUAUGCAUUCAUUCUAGUGGGGCAGAGAAAAACAGACCCUGAAACAGAAG